RNAcentral lists this long non-coding RNA (227 nucleotides) under Hordeum vulgare. RNAcentral's name for it is "long non-coding RNA (HVUL_LNC004524)". The record is from RNAcentral. Lineage: Eukaryota; Viridiplantae; Streptophyta; Magnoliopsida; Poales; Poaceae.
GUCGGGAUGCUCCCAGGCUAUAAAUAUUUGUCCCCCACAACCUCUUGUUGCUUGGCUGCUCCGAGAGAAACUGACACUAGUCAUUUAGAGCAACCCAAAUUCCUCAGAGUCUUCGAGAGAAAAUCAUCAAAUGAGGAAAUACCCCAAACACCAAACCCAAACCAAAAACCCAAGUGAUUGAGCAUCACUGAAGAAGUUGUUCCUGUGUGGAACCGACGCUUGUUACC